Molecule: long non-coding RNA, 609 nt
Organism: Ornithodoros turicata
Lineage: Eukaryota; Metazoa; Arthropoda; Arachnida; Ixodida; Argasidae
Exons: 2
Source: RefSeq, a predicted model, not a curated record
ACGGCACAUGUUGGACUAGUUCAACGAGAACCCGCUUGGUUCGCAGCGAGCGCAUAGCGCCGGAGCUCAGGAGCUUGGCUUCAAAACAGGGGCAUCGCGCAUUCCAUGUAUUGAAUAUGGCGGUAAGCACACCAGUCUUUCUAGCCCACCAUAAAACGCUUAACGCUCGUCGUCCGUCCGUUAACAAGUGUAAUCUGUUUUCAUCAGUGGUUUUCCUCGCGUUUAUCAUAGUAUCGUCAGGAACACCGGAAAAGCUAGAUGUCGCUAGCAAACAAGUAUAUUUUCGGUGUUCUGAGGGGAAAGUGUAGUGAGUGCGAAGAUUGCAAAGAAUAUAUAACCGAAAACGAACGUCACCACCGCAGCCCUAAUUCACACACUUCAUACACUGGGAUCCCACAUGCAGGUUCACAUACCGUCACCAGCGCAAUGCAGUACCUCACAAACUCGUCCCAGAGCGCCUCCAACGCUGAUAACGCAGUAAUGUAGUGUCUCCUGCGUUACUGUACACUCAUAUUCCUCAAGGUUGUGUGCGUUUUAUGUAAUACUGUAUUGCCAUUUGCGCUCGCCUCUGCAACACGAAUGUGGAAUAAAUUUUUUUCUGCUGCAAUU